GUCGGGAAUAUUGCGCAAUGGAGGAAACUCUGACGCAGUGACGCCGCGUAUAGGAAGAAGGUUUUCGGAUUGUAAACUAUUGUCGUUAGGGAAGAAAAAAGACAGUACCUAAGGAGGAAGCUCCGGCUAACUACGUGCCAGCAGCCGCGGUAAUACGUAGGGAGCGAGCGUUAUCCGGAUUUAUUGGGUGUAAAGGGUGCGUAGACGGGUCUACAAGUUAGUUGUGAAAUCCCUCGGCUCAACUGAGGAACUGCAGCUAAAACUAUAGAUCUUGAGUGCAGGAGAGGUAAGUGGAAUUCCUAGUGUAGCGGUGAAAUGCGUAGAUAUUAGGAGGAACACCAGUGGCGAAGGCGACUUACUGGACUGUAACUGACGUUGAGGCACGAAAGUGUGGGGAGCAAACAGG
RNAcentral lists this ribosomal RNA (406 nucleotides) under uncultured bacterium. Its description in RNAcentral is "bacterial SSU rRNA". It matches the Rfam family "Bacterial small subunit ribosomal RNA", at positions 354 to 776 of the family's 1533-position model. The record is from RNAcentral.